GGCCUGGCUGGGUGGUCCGCUUCACAGCAUGUACUGUCUGGCUGGGUCUUACUUCUUGGUGAGCUGGCAUGCCCUUUAUUGGUGUGCAUUGGGGAACCAGGACUUUUACCUUGAGAAAAUUAGAGUGUUCAAAGCAGGCUAUUGCCUGAAUACAUUAGCAUGGAAUAAUAAAAUAGGACAUGCGGUUCUAUUUUGUUGGUUUCUAGAGUCACCAUA
RNAcentral lists this ribosomal RNA (216 nucleotides) under uncultured fungus. RNAcentral's name for it is "partial small subunit ribosomal RNA". The stretch from base 88 to 216 matches the Rfam family "Eukaryotic small subunit ribosomal RNA", at positions 734 to 864 of the family's 1831-position model. The record is from RNAcentral. Lineage: Eukaryota; Fungi.